CCCUUAGAUGUUCGGGGCCGCACGCGCGCUACACUGAAGGAAUCAGCACGUCUUUCUCCUUGUCCGAAAGGACUGGGUAACCCGCUGAACCUCCUUCGUGCUAGGGAUUGGGGCUUGUAAUUCUUCCCCAUGAACGAGGAAUUCCCAGUAAGCGCGAGUCAUAAGCUCGCGUUGAUUACGUCCCUGCCCUUUGUACACACCGCCCGGCGCUACUACCGAUUGGAUGGUUUAGUGAGAUCCUCGGAUUGGUCCCGGAGCGGCCUCUGGUCGUGCCGGAGUGCCGAAAAGAAUGUCGAACUUGAUCAUCUAGAGGAAGUAAAAGUCGUAACA
Molecule: ribosomal RNA, 330 nt
Filed under: uncultured eukaryote
Lineage: Eukaryota
Description: partial 18S ribosomal RNA
Rfam family: Eukaryotic small subunit ribosomal RNA
Source: RNAcentral